RNAcentral lists this ribosomal RNA (537 nucleotides) under Synergus sp. Syn25. RNAcentral describes it as "partial large subunit ribosomal RNA". It matches the Rfam family "Eukaryotic large subunit ribosomal RNA", at positions 641 to 1138 of the family's 3401-position model. The record is from RNAcentral. Lineage: Eukaryota; Metazoa; Arthropoda; Insecta; Hymenoptera; Cynipidae.
UGGGACCCCCUUUCUGAAACACGGACCAAGGAGUCUAACAUGUGCGCGAGUCAUUGGGACCGCAAAACCUAAAGGCGUAAUGAAAGUGAAGGUCGAUCUUGCGUCGACUAAGGGAGGAUGGGUUGUGUCACGAUACAGCCCCGCACUCCCGGGGCGUCUCGUACUCAUUGCGAGUUGAGGCGCACCCAGAGCGUACACGUUGGGACCCGAAAGAUGGUGAACUAUGCCUGGUCAGGACGAAGUCAGGGGAAACCCUGAUGGAGGUCCGUAGCGAUUCUGACGUGCAAAUCGAUCGUCGGAACUGGGUAUAGGGGCGAAAGACUAAUCGAACCAUCUAGUAGCUGGUUCCCUCCGAAGUUUCCCUCAGGAUAGCUGGCACUCGCGUGAGCGAGUCUCAUCUGGUAAAGCGAAUGAUUAGAGGCCUUGGGGCCGAAACGACCUCAACCUAUUCUCAAACUUUAAAUGGGUGAGAUCUCUGGCUUGCUUAAACUUUGAAGCCACGAGAUUUCGGAUCAGAGUGCCAAGUGGGCCAAUUUU